Acipenser ruthenus (sterlet) is the source of this 1878-nucleotide long non-coding RNA. RefSeq lists it as uncharacterized. The transcript has 3 exons. NCBI's taxonomy places the organism in Eukaryota, Metazoa, Chordata, Actinopteri, Acipenseriformes, Acipenseridae. The record is from RefSeq and is a predicted model, not a curated record.
AAAUACAUGUAUUAUACACAAUAAGUGGAUGUGUAUGACAUGGAAAAUGUAUGGAAUUAUUUUGUUAGCUGCAAUCACUUUAAAGAAAUUGUUGGAACAAGGUCCUGGAUAGGAAUGGGCCAGAAGAGCCACAACAUGGAUGAAUAGAAGGAGAAAUGAGUCCCAUUCCCCAAUUCCAUUUGCACCAAUCAACUAUCUUGGACAGUCCAUUAUAAAAAGAGAACCAAAAGUACAGGAAGAGGAGCGAGUGGUUCCAGGGAGAACCGAACAGAGGACGGAUGGACGGACGGACCUGGAUGGUACACCCCUCCAUGACUGACGCCCCAGAAGAGCAAACAGGCACCAACCGAGGGACGGACAGACAGUUCCCUGUACACACCUGAGAUGCAAGGUCCUACCCUACCUAAGUUAAGUACCAGUGGCCAGGUCGGAAGACCAAACCAGAGUAGGGAGGGCCGAGAAUUGGGGUGUACGUGGUGAAUGACCAGGGACACAGUGGGAGUGUGGAGAUCAAGUGCUGUUUGUUCUUCCAUUGCAGGAUCCUACGUCGUGGUAUUGGAGAGGUGGGGACUGCCCCUGAAGGGAGCUAAAUACAAGCCUUACACCAGGAUAAACCAACAGGUUAGGAGGUUCGUGGAUCGGUCACCUUCAGCUUCACCUUUCCUUGUUUGCAUUUCUACUGGGACAGUGUUUGGCGACUAGGAUUAAGUACAGGACUGUAAUGGAGUGAAAACAAAAGAGAAACACACUCCAUGACUAAGGUCGUACAUCAUUGCAUAACGGAAGGAUAUUAUCCUAAAGUCUUUUUAAUACUGGUUGUUUGUGAUUAAAAUUGUAAAUGUAAAAUAAUAAUAAAUUGCAAUGAAAAGAACAGUAAGAGUUAGUUCUAAGGCCACCGCUGUAACUGUUUUUGUAAUGAACAGGUGCACAUAUGAUUUACAAGGACACAAUGUGUUGCUAGCGAGUUGCUAAAGUUUAUUUUAAAGCUCAGACUUUCUUUAGUUAAAGAAGAGAAGUGAAAGCCCUUGCAUUUUAAAAAUAUUAACAUUUCAUGUUUUGAAUAAAUGCGAACAUACCGGCAAACUGGUGUAGCUCUGGGCGCAGCCAUCUUGGGUAGCGUGUACGUUAAUGUCAGGCUUUAUUACAGUCGUGAGCACGCUUAAUAAUAGUUAAUGUGGGGGGAAAUAUAUUAUUUAGCUGGGUUUUAACUAUAGUAUGCUUAACUUUUAAGAGUGGGUCUAUAAUGGAAAUUACGCUAACAAGUGUGAAUCAGUUAAUGCAGAGACUGUAACAUAUCUAUAAGACUAUACUUUAAUGAAGGUGUAGUGGAUUAGUCCUGGGGAGGGGCUAGUGAUAGGGGAAGGUAUAAGUACCUGUGUAGAGCUCAUUUUUGGGGACUAGAUUUGAGACUCCAGAGAGAGUGACUGUGUACUCGAUGUAUACAAUCUGUGUUAAAUACAGGCUUGUGGAUUUGUUUUGUUAAAUUUUUAGUGUUUUGUACUGCCAGUCUUCACCUGAGGCUUAAAUAAAAGCUUACUUUUGACAUUUUAAUCGCGACUUCUGACUGUUUUCUGCCACCUGCAAUAGCCACUUGACCACAAUACUAUACAAGAACCUACAAACUGAGUUUUCUAGGCCUUUUGAGGCCCAGGUGAAUAUACUGCAACUAUCAUUUCACCAAACUGCUGUUUAUAUUGUUCGGGAAUGUGUUGUGAUAAUAUAUUGUGUGGAGUGGAAUAAUAGUGAUACUAAUAGCCCCCCCUGAAGUCACAAGUAGCCUGUUAAAAUAUUUUAUGGAAGGUUUUAGUGGUUUUACUUAGUAAACAGUUGUAGGCGUUUUUAGAAUAGGUUUUGUUUGGAGAUAAUAUGCAAGGUGGU